UCCACAGCUCUUCCUCUUUUCUCUACUGGU
Molecule: non-coding RNA, 30 nt
Filed under: Homo sapiens (human)
Lineage: Eukaryota; Metazoa; Chordata; Mammalia; Primates; Hominidae
Source: RNAcentral